GCGGCCAUGGCCGAGCGGUCUAAGGCGCCAGCUUGCGCUUUCCACUCGGUCGGCGUGCAAAGGGCGCGGGUUCGAUCCCCGGCCGCUGCU
Non-coding RNA from Aphelenchus avenae, 90 nucleotides. Lineage: Eukaryota; Metazoa; Nematoda; Chromadorea; Rhabditida; Aphelenchidae. The record is from the annotation of a GenBank genome assembly.